This 429-nucleotide ribosomal RNA is filed under the name uncultured bacterium. Its description in RNAcentral is "bacterial SSU rRNA". It matches the Rfam family "Bacterial small subunit ribosomal RNA", at positions 29 to 506 of the family's 1533-position model. The record is from RNAcentral.
AGCGAACGCUGGCGGCAGGCCUAAUACAUGCAAGUCGAACGGACCCUUCGGGGUUAGUGGCGGACGGGUGAGUAACACGUGGGAACGUGCCCUUUGGUUCGGAAUAACUCAGGGAAACUUGAAUUAAUACCGAAUGUGCCCUUCGGGGAAGAUUAUCGCCAUUGGAGCGGCCCGCGUCUGAUUAGCUAGUUGGUGGGGUAAAGGCCCACCAAGGCUACGAUCAGUAGCUGGUCUGAGAGGAUGAUCAGCCACACUGGGACUGAGACACGGCCCAGACUCCUACGGGAGGCAGCAGUAGGGAAUCUUGCGCAAUGGGCGAAAGCCUGACGCAGCCAUGCCGCGUGAAUGAUGAAGGUCUUAGGAUUGUAAAAUUCUUUCAGCGGGGACGAUAAUGACGGUACCCGCAGAAGAAGCCCCGGCUAACUUCGU